This 433-nucleotide ribosomal RNA is filed under the name uncultured Actinomycetes bacterium. Its description in RNAcentral is "bacterial SSU rRNA". It matches the Rfam family "Bacterial small subunit ribosomal RNA", at positions 958 to 1392 of the family's 1533-position model. Lineage: Bacteria; Bacillati; Actinomycetota; Actinomycetes. The record is from RNAcentral.
AACGCGAAGAACCUUACCUGGGUUUGACAUACACCAGAAAGCAUCAGAGAUGGUGCCCCCCUUGUGGUUGGUGUACAGGUGGUGCAUGGCUGUCGUCAGCUCGUGUCGUGAGAUGUUGGGUUAAGUCCCGCAACGAGCGCAACCCUUAUCUUAUGUUGCCAGCGCGUUAUGGCGGGGACUCGUGAGAGACUGCCGGGGUCAACUCGGAGGAAGGUGGGGACGACGUCAAGUCAUCAUGCCCCUUAUGUCCAGGGCUUCACACAUGCUACAAUGGCCGGUACAGAGGGCUGCGAGACCGUGAGGUGGAGCGAAUCCCUUAAAGCCGGUCUCAGUUCGGAUCGGGGUCUGCAACUCGACCCCGUGAAGUUGGAGUCGCUAGUAAUCGCAGAUCAGCAACGCUGCGGUGAAUACGUUCCCGGCCUUGUACACACCG